RNAcentral lists this ribosomal RNA (496 nucleotides) under uncultured bacterium. RNAcentral describes it as "partial 16S ribosomal RNA". It matches the Rfam family "Bacterial small subunit ribosomal RNA", at positions 28 to 507 of the family's 1533-position model. The record is from RNAcentral.
GAUGAACGCUGGCGGCGUGCCUAAUACAUGCAAGUCGAGCGAACAGACGAGGAGCUUGCUCCUCUGACGUUAGCGGCGGACGGGUGAGUAACACGUGGAUAACCUACCUAUAAGACUGGGAUAACUUCGGGAAACCGGAGCUAAUACCGGAUAAUAUAUUGAACCGCAUGGUUCAAUAGUGAAAGACGGUUUUGCUGUCACUUAUAGAUGGAUCCGCGCCGCAUUAGCUAGUUGGUAAGGUAACGGCUUACCAAGGCAACGAUGCGUAGCCGUCCUGAGAGGGUGACCGGCCACACUGAACCUGGACCCGGUCCAGACUCCUACGGGAGGCAGCAGUAGGGAAUCUUCCGCAAUGGGCGAAAGCCUGACGGAGCAACGCCGCGUGAGUGAUGAAGGUCUUCGGAUCGUAAAACUCUGUUAUUAGGGAAGAACAAAUGUGUAAGUAACUAUGCACGUCUUGACGGUACCUAAUCAGAAAGCCACGGCUAACUACGUG